GUGGCGGCGGUCGGACGGCAGCGGGUCCUGUCAUGGAUGGACGAGCUCUCUGCCAAGCCAUGAACUUGCUGCUGCUAACCCUCACCGGCCUCCUCCCUCCUCUCUCUGCACCCUCUUGAGCUUUCCCUUUUUAUUUUGAUGUACUUUCGUGGUCACCUCCCUUUCAGUUUGUUGUCUGCUAACUGUUUGUUGUUAUGCCCGUGCAAGCUGCAUUUUCACAUAUUUGUUGGUAUACCCACGUAGGUAUGUAUACUCCUGGUCAUGCUGAAGAUCGAGGGUUUGUAUUGCUUCUAGGCCAAGAAACUGAGAGGGGCUUUCUUCUUCGAGUCGCCGGAACCAAACGACAGCGUGCUGCAGACUUUCUGGUCUGCUAUGUGUUCUUCACUAAAUCCUCCAAAUCCUCCAGGUAGCAGCUGCUCUAACCAGCUGGUCUACUGCAGGUUGGAGUAGGUUAUAUCAUGCAGUCAUGGUAGGUGCUCUUUUUUAUUUUGCCCCAGAAAGAAGAGGGCCAGCGACACCUUCAAGGGCAGCAGCCAACAUUGAGAACGACAGGGUGCCAGUGGGGGUUAACCUCGGGAGAAGUUGCUGCGAGGUACAUCACAUGCUCGACAGGGUGUAGGGUGAGUGGACGUCCAAAAACUAAGCGAAAGUUGCUUGCUUAAUGCGUAGUCGCAUUGAGUGUUAGUUAUACAAGAGAAAUCAAAUGAAUAUGUUUAGUUUCUAAACCUUUAUUCAUUUUUUAAUAGAAUUGCUUGCUUAGGGCUCUGAUAUAUUUCUUUACAUGAAUCGGCACUAUGCUCUUAUGCUUUUAGUUAUACAUAUAUUUUUUAGUUGGUCAGGUUUUCAAGUUUCAACCAUUCUUACUUUGAAAUGAUUCUGUAGUUAGUUAUAAAUAUAGAAAAUUUGAUGCCUGGGAUACAUAUUUUUCAUGGUAUAUUAUGCCAGCUAAGGGAUCUCUUAUUUCUUUAGGUCUGCUACAUAAUUAUCUGGAGAUUUACUUUCUUCCGGUGCCUGCUUUUGAUCACAGGAAACUAAAAAAAGACAAAAUAUACUUCACAUGCAGCAUCUUAUCCUAUGUGAAGUUAUCUUGCAGACAUCGUUAAAUAUUUUUCUUCACUUUUCUGUUUAGCUAAAUAACCAAUUAAAUGAUUUAAUAUAUUUUUUCUUUUUUUAAAUUGGGUAAAGAAAGUAUGUUGCACUUUCUUAUAGUCUUUUGGCUGGCACUGCAAUUUUGUUUGUCUUCUAGAGUGACAUAGAACAUGAUAUGCUUCUUUUACUGUACAUGUUAUCUAUAUUUUGUACCUUUAAUACCCUCUCUUUUUCUUGAUACUCAGAUGGUUCAGCUUCAAAAGCACCAAAAAAUUAUGUUAAUACAUGGGUGAGUGGAGAUACUGCAUGUAAUACUCACUUUCCCAUCUUUAUACAAUGUUGUACCUACAGCAACUGUCAUUUUACUCUCCCUCUUAGAAGGACUUCUCUGUAUUUUGUCAAGCCUUCCGGCCUUAUAUGGUGAUAUUUUUUUCCGGAACCACCUCUUAUGUCUUGCCUACGUUUGAAGUUUUGGAGUUCUUAAAUUCUUGAUGAAGAGGAUUUUGGAGGUACGUGCCACCGGUGCUCAGGGCGCUUAAUUAACUGCAGCAGCAGAACAUGGAUUAUUAAUGCUGCAGCAGCAGAACAUGGAUUAUUAAUGAUGAACCGUCUGUCUUUGGAAGCGGCUAUUCAUUGGAGAGGGUAUUGUUCCUUUAUGGUCAUAAGACAGACUUCUCUUUGGAAGCGGAAAUGGAAGCGGCACAUGAAGGUGUGCUCCUGCCCUUGCAAGUGCUCCACCAAGCCGGUUGUGCAGCGAUGGCAAGAGUGAGACUGGUUCGUUCACAGGCCAAGAGGACCCUGUUCGCCGAAUCAUCGCCUGGACAUGGGUUGGGAGCUGCGCUAGAGUUUUUUACGACUUAUUCGUCUUCUAUGUUAGAGAAGGAGGCGGCAUACAGAGGGUAUGGAGGCGGAGGAGGAGCGGACCAUUGCCAUCGUCCUCACAGCAGGUGGAGUGCGGGCUGCAGGGAGGAUCUUGAGAGGCACUCGUUCUGCUACUCUCUACUCUCCGGCGCUGAUAAGGAGGCUCUCGUGCAGCUCCAGGAAGGCUAAUUGAUGUUACUUUUAUUUCUUCAUACAAGCUCCUUCCAUUGGUAAUAUUGUUAAAUGUUACAUAUCACUAAAUAUUGCUUUGUUGAUAUGUGUCUUAUGUCCGGGCCAGAAAUUGUGUAUACAUGCUUAUGCUUACUUGGUGUGGUUUAUUGUUCAGUAUUGAGUCCAGAAAAUCCAUGCUGUGCACCUAUCUCAUGAUGUUGGCAGCCUGUUAGGCAGGUACGAAUGUUGGUUAUGUGGCUCGACUCGCACGCAACCUAUGCACGUACGCAACUAUAGCCUAUGCAGGUGAGUCAUGCAAAGAUAAUUCAAUUUGGUGAUUCUGGCCAUAUGCCUCAUGCAUGGUUACUGAUGCCCUUCCUCUCUUUCUCCUCGAAGCAUAUCAAUUUCUAAUAUUUUGAAUGCUUUGUUUUAAGACCUGAACAUGAGGUUAUUGCACUGCAAUUCAAACGGAUUUUGUUCAGAGCAUCGGCCUGAAAAUUAGGCCUUUAUCUCCCAUCUACUCUUAGAUAGAGAUAGAGAAAGACCAUUCGCAGAGUUGCACUUACCUUUUUAUGAUGCCCAAAUUUAUGCUUAGAAAGGUAACACUUUUUUAUUGGGUGGUAUUAGUAUAUAAUGUUACCGAAUGGUCCUUCUCUAUCUAAGCUUUGAUGUGCGUGUGCUUUUUCAAACUUGGCGAGUACAUUAGAAAAGGAAAUAUCUACUAGGGUUAUUUCUGUUAAAAUGGUUACAGAGAAUAAGAGAAAGUAUAUAUUACAUAUGCCUAUAUAUUUUCUUAUUUCUUUUUAGAAGUUGACUAGAAAGUGGAUAUGUUCACUGCUUAUUUCUCUAGACAUUUGAGUUCACUUUAUCAUUUGGUUGGUCUACGUGGUACUCAGAACUUAAGCCUAUCUACCAUGAAUCUGUUUCUUGAUGUUUACUCUGCUGGACUGAGAAAUGAACUUUCAGUGAGUUGUUUGUUUUUUACCAGCUGUUAUCAUCUCCUGCAGCCCUUAGUGUCAUGGUUGUGUUGUUCUCAACCUGCCUGUUGUCCCAUGUAGUCCUUCUUUCUUCAGUAUUUUGCAGCAUCCCUACAUCAGUGUGUAUGGAUGUAUCACCGCAUGGCCAAAACUGUUGACCGGGAGUACUAUAGAUGGUGUACUCAAUUCAGAAAUGAGCCUAUCGUGUUGGCAUGCUCUGCUAUUGUAGCGUACCUGCGAAACUUUGGAAGACCUGGUAAUUAAGUAAUCCAGGAUGUUAAAACUUUCCCUAAUGAAUAUUCUCAUGCUCUGCUGAGAGAGAAAAAUAUGAGCUCCUUAUUACAGAAGUGUUGUCUCUACUAAUGCUACAUUAUAUCAUUGACAUAACUUUAUCAAUCAUGGUUAUCACCUCUGAGAGCUAUAUGUGGCUAAUUAACAUUUUUCCAACAAUAAACAAUGAUCAACUAUACAUUCGGUUGUAUUUUUUGUGUGUGUUUCUGUACUUAAAUUGUAGUGGGAAUAUUGCAAGAACUUGCAGAUACACAUCUUUACACCGUCAAAUCGGUGCACAGCAUUUCACCUAUUGGUGAGUAAAUUAAGUUUGUGUAUGACCAAUUGACCAUUCUAUGUGAUGUUUGUAGAUACAUGGACCACUUAUCAGAAAACUUAGAGCAUGUGCAUGACCAAUUGACCAUUCUAUGUGAUGUUAUUUCUUCCUGUUUUCAGAUGCACAUCUCUUCGAUAUUAAUGUAGAACGGUCAUUUUGCUUUAACCGUCACGUAAUAACAUCCUCUUAGCUGCUUGUAAUGGGACCAUUGGUGACGUUUUGAAAUCCUUCUCGUGUGUUUCUAGGAAUUAAAAUGCUCAUUACAAAAAGGCUUUUUGAAUAAAUUGAGCAAUUUUUUUUGUAAGAAGUUCCAACAGAUUUCGCCAGUUGGUUCCAGUAUAGUAAAAAAUGCAAAUUAUCCAGUCUAAGUAAAUUUUAAUGUUUACUGUUCUCUUCUGUAUCUGCAUGCUAUGAUAGUGGUAACUAUAAGUUCCUUUUCACUUGGACAAACUAGGCAAGGAUCUAUGAACAUUACCAUUUAUGAAUAUGAAAGGAACUUGGAAUCAGCUUCUAACCAAAGAAAUGAUCUGACUGAGAUACACAGGGCUGAUAUUGUUUCGACAAUUUAUGAUGUCCUCAAGGAAGAUCUGUCACGUGAUUCUGAUAGACAUGAUGGAUAUCGCCGUUUUUGGAGAUUUCAGAAGAUGUAACAUUUAAUUUUCUCACAAAGUUUGGCCAUACAUUAUAUCAACUGAAUAUGUUACUAUAAAAGCUGACUAUAUAUGGCAUUCGUUCAGUAAAUAUGUGUCCUUAAUUGAAGGAGUGUUUUUUAUUUUAUUGUAGACGUUCUGUCGCCCCCCUCCCCCACAGAUGGCGGGCAAGGUUGUUACUCUAUUUGAGCCGAAGGAUGUUGACACAUUCAUAAUUGCUUUUUAUGUCCUAUGGUUGCUCGAAAGAGGAGGGAUGCUCAUACUUUUAUCUUUAAGAGUGCUCUUUAUUCUGUUAUGGUGAGUUUUGAUUACGGGGUUUAGAAUUGGCUAUCCCAAAUAGCCAAUUGGUGUGACCUCUUAUAGCAAAUGGACCAUCACCACCAAAUGGUUUGUUUGCAGGAGUAAAAUAUUUGUUGUAGUUUUAAUCGAUCUACAGUUUCCAUUCUUAUUUUCUUCAAAAAAAAAUCCCGUAUUUAAAGUCGUUACAUGUUGGCCUCUGCUUCAUCUUGUGCAGCUGAAAAGGACACACGUAAGAUUCUAUUUUUGUUUGAUUCUAAGUCUCUAACUAUGUUGUAUAUUGAAAAGAAUUGAGGUUAGGAGUCCUGCCAUUGGAGAAGCUAUUGCAUUGGGAGCAGCAGUAGAUUAUCUGUCACAAUUCGGCAUGCUGAGGAUUCAUGAGUAUGAGAAAGAGUUGGGGAUGUAUCUUUACGAGACAUAUCCAUGCGAGACUAGAUAUGAAUUCAACGAAGCUAAUCAGUUCCUUGGGUACUAUGGGUUAGAUGAAGAUGAAUUGAUCCGUUGAGACUGAGGUCUACGACAAUAACUCUGACGGACUGCCUAUGAAUUAUCAAGAAAGUUUUCCUUCUAUGCUAGCUACUCCGUACUUAUGAUGUUUCGUUAUGCGUAGUGAUCUCUGUGAUAAUCAUGUCAUUCAAGUUUGAUGUUUCGUCUUACACUAUAUAUAUGUAAAUAAUGGAGCAGCUAGCUCUGCUAUGAACUCACAUGGCACUACUCCUAUCUUAGAACCAUGUAUUUGUACCUAUAUGUAAUGCAUUUUUCCUUCUUUCGGCACAAA
Lolium rigidum is the source of this 5430-nucleotide RNA transcript. RefSeq lists it as uncharacterized. The record is from RefSeq and is a predicted model, not a curated record. The transcript has 8 exons. Lineage: Eukaryota; Viridiplantae; Streptophyta; Magnoliopsida; Poales; Poaceae.